This 916-nucleotide ribosomal RNA is filed under the name uncultured archaeon. RNAcentral describes it as "SSU rRNA". It matches the Rfam family "Archaeal small subunit ribosomal RNA", at positions 1 to 922 of the family's 1478-position model. The record is from RNAcentral.
UUUCCGGUUGAUCCUGCCGGACCUGACUGCUAUCGGAUUGAUACUAAGCCAUGCGAGUCUUUGUAGUAAUACAAGGCAGACGGCUCAGUAACACGUAGUCAACCUACCCUAUGGACAAGAAUAAUCUCGGGAAACUGGGCAUAAUUCUUGAUAGAUCAUAAUGCCUGGAAUGGUUUAUGGUUAAAAUGAUUCGUCGCCAUAGGAUGGGACUGCGGCCUAUCAGCUUGUUGGUGAGGUAAUGGCCCACCAAGGCGAUUACAGGUACGGGCUCUGAGAGGAGAAGCCCGGAGAUGGGUACUGAGACACGGACCCAGGCCCUAUGGGGCGCAGCAGGCGAGAAAACUUUGCAAUGUGCGAAAGCACGACAAGGUUAAUCCGAGUGAUUUCUGCUAAAGAAAUCUUUUGCCAGUCAUAAAACCACUGGUGAAUAAGGGGUGGGCAAGUUCUGGUGUCAGCCGCCGCGGUAAAACCAGCGCCUCAAGUGGUCAGGAUGAUUAUUGGGCCUAAAGCAUCCGUAGCCGGCUUUGUUAGUUUUCGGUUAAAUCCAUGUGCUCAACGCAUGGGCUGCCGAAAAUACUGCAUGGCUAGGGAGUGGGAGAGGUAGACGGUACUCAGUAGGAAGGGGUAAAAUCCUUUGAUCUAUUGAUGACCACCUGUGGCGAAGGCGGUCUACCAGAACACGUUCGACGGUGAGGGAUGAAAGCUGGGGGAGCAAACCGGAUUAGAUACCCGGGUAGUCCCAGCUGUAAACGAUGCAGACUCGAUGAUGCAUUGGCAUAAUAGCCAGUGCAGUGUCGCAGGGAAGCCGUUAAGUCUGCUGCCUGGGAAGUACGUGCGCAAGUAUGAAACUUAAAGGAAUUGGCGGGGGAGCACCACAAGGGGUGAAGCCUGCGGUUCAAUUGGAGUCAACGCCGGG